Molecule: ribosomal RNA, 549 nt
Filed under: uncultured bacterium
Lineage: Bacteria
Description: bacterial SSU rRNA
Rfam family: Bacterial small subunit ribosomal RNA
Source: RNAcentral
UAGGGAAUCUUCCACAAUGGACGCAAGUCUGAUGGAGCAACGCCGCGUGAGUGAAGAAGGUCUUCGGAUCGUAAAACUCUGUUGUUAGAGAAGAACACGAGUGAGAGUAACUGUUCAUUCGAUGACGGUAUCUAACCAGCAAGUCACGGCUAACUACGUGCCAGCAGCCGCGGUAAUACGUAGGUGGCAAGCGUUGUCCGGAUUUAUUGGGCGUAAAGGGAACGCAGGCGGUCUUUUAAGUCUGAUGUGAAAGCCUUCGGCUUAACCGGAGUAGUGCAUUGGAAACUGGAAGACUUGAGUGCAGAAGAGGAGAGUGGAACUCCAUGUGUAGCGGUGAAAUGCGUAGAUAUAUGGAAGAACACCAGUGGCGAAAGCGGCUCUCUGGUCUGUAACUGACGCUGAGGUUCGAAAGCGUGGGUAGCAAACAGGAUUAGAUACCCUGGUAGUCCACGCCGUAAACGAUGAAUGCUAGGUGUUGGAGGGUUUCCGCCCUUCAGUGCCGCAGCUAACGCAAUAAGCAUUUCGCCUGGGGAGUACGACCGCAAGGUU